This 465-nucleotide ribosomal RNA is filed under the name Vreelandella stevensii. RNAcentral's name for it is "partial 16S ribosomal RNA". It matches the Rfam family "Bacterial small subunit ribosomal RNA", at positions 338 to 795 of the family's 1533-position model. The record is from RNAcentral. Lineage: Bacteria; Pseudomonadati; Pseudomonadota; Gammaproteobacteria; Oceanospirillales; Halomonadaceae.
CCUACGGUUGGCAGCAGUGGGGAAUAUGGGACAAUGGGGGCAACCCUGAUCCAGCCAUGCCGCGUGUGUGAAGAAGGCCCUCGGGUUGUAAAGCACUUUCAGUGAGGAAGAACGCCUGGUGGUUAAUACCCAUCAGGAAAGACAUCACUCACAGAAGAAGCACCGGCUAACUCCGUGCCAGCAGCCGCGGUAAUACGGAGGGUGCGAGCGUUAAUCGGAAUUACUGGGCGUAAAGCGCGCGUAGGUGGCUUGAUAAGCCGGUUGUGAAAGCCCCGGGCUCAACCUGGGAACGGCAUCCGGAACUGUCAAGCUAGAGUGCAGGAGAGGAAGGUAGAAUUCCCGGUGUAGCGGUGAAAUGCGUAGAGAUCGGGAGGAAUACCAGUGGCGAAGGCGGCCUUCUGGACUGACACUGACACUGAGGUGCGAAAGCGUGGGUAGCAAACAGGAUUAGAUACCCUUGUAGUC